This 289-nucleotide ribosomal RNA is filed under the name uncultured bacterium. RNAcentral's name for it is "partial 16S ribosomal RNA". It matches the Rfam family "Bacterial small subunit ribosomal RNA", at positions 72 to 354 of the family's 1533-position model. The record is from RNAcentral.
CCCGGGACCCGGGACCGGGCCGACCGGGUACGGAGUAACAACGUACGUAGCGAACCUACGCCGUCGCCACAGGGGGAUAACCCGCGGAAACGCGGCCUAAUACCCCGUGACGCCACCGGAGGGCAUCCUCCGGUGGCCAAAGGAGCGAUCCGGUGGCGGAUGGGCAUGCGGCGCAUUAGCUAGACGGCGGGGUGACGGCCCACCGUGGCGACGAUGCGUAGGGGUUCUGAGAGGAAGGCCCCCCACACUGGGACUGAGACACGGCCCAGACUCCUACGGGAGGCAGCAG